Molecule: ribosomal RNA, 372 nt
Filed under: uncultured organism
Description: bacterial SSU rRNA
Rfam family: Bacterial small subunit ribosomal RNA
Source: RNAcentral
CGGGGGGGGCAAGCGUUGUUCGGAAUUACUGGGCGUAAAGGGCUCGUAGGCGGCCGACUAAGUCAGACGUGAAAUCCCUCGGCUUAACCGGGGAAUUGCGUCUGAUACUGGACGGCUUGAGUUUGGGAGAGGGAUGCGGAAUUCCAGGUGUAGCGGUGAAAUGCGUAGAUAUCUGGAGGAACACCGGUGGCGAAGGCGGCAUCCUGGACCAAUACUGACGCUGAGGAGCGAAAGCCAGGGGAGCAAACGGGAUUAGAUACCCCGGUAGUCCUGGCCCUAAACGAUGAAUGCUUGGUGUGGCGGGUAUCGAUCCCUGCCGUGCCGAAGCUAACGCAUUAAGCAUUCCGCCUGGGGAGUACGGUCGCAAGGCUG